GCCCCUGUGGCGGAAUUGGUAGACGCAGCAGACUCAAAAUCUGCCAUCCGUCAGGAUGUGGGAGUUCGAGUCUCCCCGGGGGCACCA
This 87-nucleotide transfer RNA is filed under the name Holosporales bacterium. Its description in RNAcentral is "tRNA-Leu". It matches the Rfam family "tRNA". Rfam says of the family: Transfer RNA (tRNA) molecules are approximately 80 nucleotides in length. Their secondary structure includes four short double-helical elements and three loops (D, anti-codon, and T loops). Further hydrogen bonds mediate the characteristic L-shaped molecular structure. tRNAs have two regions of fundamental functional importance: the anti-codon, which is responsible for specific mRNA codon recognition, and the 3' end, to which the tRNAs corresponding amino acid is attached (by aminoacyl-tRNA synthetases). tRNAs cope with the degeneracy of the genetic code in two manners: having more than one tRNA (with a specific anti-codon) for a particular amino acid; and 'wobble' base-pairing, i.e. permitting non-standard base-pairing at the 3rd anti-codon position. Lineage: Bacteria; Pseudomonadati; Pseudomonadota; Alphaproteobacteria; Holosporales. The record is from RNAcentral.